RNAcentral lists this ribosomal RNA (253 nucleotides) under uncultured bacterium. Its description in RNAcentral is "partial 16S ribosomal RNA". It matches the Rfam family "Bacterial small subunit ribosomal RNA", at positions 524 to 776 of the family's 1533-position model. The record is from RNAcentral.
UACGUAGGUGGCAAGCGUUGUCCGGAUUUACUGGGCGUAAAGGGCGUGCAGGCGGUUUGUUAAGUGCAGGGUGAAAGCUCCCGGCUCAACUGGGAGAGGUCCUUGCAUACUGGCAGACUUGAGGGAGGCAGAGGAAAGUGGAAUUCCCGGUGUAGUGGUGAUAUGCGUAGAUAUCGGGAGGAACACCUGUGGCGAAGGCGGCUUUCUGGACCGUAACUGACGCUGAGACACGAAAGCGUGGGUAGCAAACAGG